UGCCUGAUGUCCGUUGUUCGG
Molecule: non-coding RNA, 21 nt
Filed under: Caenorhabditis elegans
Lineage: Eukaryota; Metazoa; Nematoda; Chromadorea; Rhabditida; Rhabditidae
Source: RNAcentral